This 253-nucleotide ribosomal RNA is filed under the name uncultured bacterium. Its description in RNAcentral is "partial 16S ribosomal RNA". It matches the Rfam family "Bacterial small subunit ribosomal RNA", at positions 524 to 776 of the family's 1533-position model. The record is from RNAcentral.
UACGAGGGGGGCGAGCGUUGUUCGGAAUUAUUGGGCGUAAAGGGUGCGUAGGCGGUUUGGUAAGUCUGAUGUGAAAUCUAUGGGCUCAACUCAUAGUCUGCAUCGGAAACUGCCGGGCUUGAGUAUGGGAGAGGUGAGUGGAAUUCCUGGUGUAGCGGUGAAAUGCGUAGAUAUCAGGAGGAACACCUGUGGCGAAAGCGGCUCACUGGACCAUAACUGACGCUGAUGCACGAGAGCUAGGGGAGCAAACAGG